AAAUGAAAAUAUUGUUCAGGUGCUCGUCGAGCUUAAUAGGGAACCCCGUUAAAUUCGGGGACGGGCCCGCCGCUGUGACCUCGCCCUUUUCUUAUUCAAGAUAAGGGAACCUUUUUUGCAUUUUUACGCCACUAUCCGACACUCAACUCCUUAGGGUAGAGAAUCGGCAUAUCGUCAGAAAGAAUUGCGACAGAUGCCGUAGCAAACACAAUAGCAUUUAUAGUUGAGUUCUGGAUGGGAAGGCUGCACAAAAGGCGGGGAAGUCAGAAGACCUGCUUGAACAAAAGGCGUAAC
RNAcentral lists this non-coding RNA (294 nucleotides) under Desulfuromonadales bacterium. The record is from RNAcentral. Lineage: Bacteria; Pseudomonadati; Thermodesulfobacteriota; Desulfuromonadia; Desulfuromonadales.